Molecule: unclassified non-coding RNA, 368 nt
Filed under: Chytridiomycota sp.
Lineage: Eukaryota; Fungi; Chytridiomycota
Description: partial contains small subunit ribosomal RNA, internal transcribed spacer 1, and 5.8S ribosomal RNA
Rfam family: Eukaryotic small subunit ribosomal RNA (bases 1-47)
Source: RNAcentral
AAAGUCGUAACAAGGUAACCGUAGGUGAACCUGCGGUUGGAUCAUUAAAAAAACUACUGGUGAACCCGGUGCCCCAACGGGCCCCGCGGAUACUACCAUACAUGGGGGAACAGACGGACCACCAAUUGCCUACUCAAAGGGAGCCGAAAGGCUCCUUUGGCAGGGGGUCUGUUCUUCCUCACUGUAAAAAACCUUUUGUGAACCGACUCGUCUCUGGCGUGGUGGGCAGUGAUAAACUGCUUGUCAGCAUCUCUCGAGGUGCCGUGGACAACCCGCCAACCCCUUUUUAACAUUUGUAUUAACAUCUCGUCUAACAUUACUUGUAUCAAUAUACAAAACAACUUUUGGCAACGGAUCUCUUGGCUCUC